This 492-nucleotide ribosomal RNA is filed under the name uncultured bacterium. RNAcentral's name for it is "partial 16S ribosomal RNA". It matches the Rfam family "Bacterial small subunit ribosomal RNA", at positions 29 to 507 of the family's 1533-position model. The record is from RNAcentral.
AGUGAACGCUGGCGGUAGGCCUAACACAUGCAAGUCGAACGGCAGCACAGUAAGAGCUUGCUCUUACGGGUGGCGAGUGGCGGACGGGGGAGGAAUACAUGGGAAUCUACUUUUUCGUGGGGGAUAACGUAGGGAAACUUACGCUAAUAACGCAUACGACCUACGGGUGAAAGCAGGGGAUGUUCGGACCUUGCGCGAGGGAAUGAGCCGAUGUAGGAUUAGCUAGUUUGCGGGGUAGAGGCCAAGCAAGGCGACGAUCCUUAGCUGGUCUGAGAGGGUCGUUACCUACCCUGUCUCUGAGACACGUCCCACACUCUUACGCGAGGCCGCAGUGCGGAAUCUUGCACGAUGCGGGCAAGCCUGAUCUAGGCAUAUCGCGUGGGUGCUGAACGACUUCUGGUUCUAAAGCCCUUUUGUUGUGAAAGUAAUGCAGCACGUUUAUACCCCGCUGUUCUGACGGUACCCAAAGAAUAAGCACCGGCUAACUCCGUG